RNAcentral lists this long non-coding RNA (1163 nucleotides) under Oryctolagus cuniculus (rabbit). Its description in RNAcentral is "lncRNA (ENSOCUG00000031136.1)". Lineage: Eukaryota; Metazoa; Chordata; Mammalia; Lagomorpha; Leporidae. The record is from RNAcentral.
CACACUGUCACCUUCGGUGGGGGGAGGUGAGAGAUCCCUCAGCUCUGCACACGGACUUGACUUUGUCCGGGAAAACCCAGGAGCCGAAGGUCAACGCGGAAAGCCGAGGAGCGUGGAUCAGGAAGAGGCCCUCAGAAAGAGCAGAGUCAGGCUGGCUCACUGUGGAUGCCGCGGCGGCACUGAGACCGUGGAGCUCAUGAAAUCGCCCAAGCUCCCGGCCUCGGGAGCCAGGCACUGCCACCAUCCACAUUCCGCCCCUGCUUGGCCAGCAUCUCCCUGCUUGAAGCCUAGCAGCCUGGGAGCAAAGCCCUCCCUCCUAGCCUGGGUGCUAUACCUUGCUGCCUGUGUAGGCGUAGUGGUGGCCAGAGGCGGCAGGGGAGCGAGAGCUGACUCGCGUCUUCAUCAGGCACCUACCGAGACACGCUCUUGGUGAACCCACUGCUCGGCAGCCCCGUGAAGUCGCUCUGAUCUCCUGCUUUGGAUGAAAGCUGAGCCAUCCAUCAUGUUGCCCAAGGCUAAAAGGCACCACUGUUUUCUGUCUCAACAGCACCCCCUGGAGUUGUGCGAUGCAAGACUGUUCACGACUUGCCCAGGGUUGUGCCCCAGUAUUCAAUGAUGGUCCUGGAUUCGAAUCUAGAACCUCGCAGACUUCAUUCUCCCUGGGAGACCCCUGCUGCCUCCACCCCUGCUGUCCUGUGCUGCCAGACAUCUCUCUCUGUAGGGACCACAGGGACAGGACCCUCCCGAUGUUAACACUGAAAGUCCCACACUGUGGAGACGGCUGCAGGCACAGCCAGUGCAGGCACAGCCAGCUCAGGCCGCCCUAGCAACACACCACAGACUGUGUGGACAUGUACUCCUCACCGCCCGAAGUCCGAGAUACAGGUGCGCCUGAAUUCCGUUCCUGCCGAGGGCGGACAGCCGGCUCCUCCUGGGCUCACCUGGAGCAGAGACAGAGAACACCUGAGAACACUCUGACGCCCCUUGCGGCCAGGACAGAGAUCCUAUCAGAGGCCCCGCCUCCUGACCUCCUCUAACCCAAGUCACCUCCCGAAGACUCCAGAUCCAAUCACACCAGAGUGGGGCUGGGCUUCCAUGUGUGGAUUUUAGGUGGGCAUAAGUAAGUUCCCAGCAGCCAGGACCCACUUGUCACUCCCUGGCUC